This 484-nucleotide ribosomal RNA is filed under the name uncultured bacterium. RNAcentral's name for it is "partial 16S ribosomal RNA". It matches the Rfam family "Bacterial small subunit ribosomal RNA", at positions 30 to 507 of the family's 1533-position model. The record is from RNAcentral.
AUUGAACGCUGGCGGCAGGCCUAACACAUGCAAGUCGAGCGGAUGAAGGGAGCUUGCUCCUGGAUUCAGCGGCGGACGGGUGAGUAAUGCCUAGGAAUCUGCCUGGUAGUGGGGUAUAACGUCCGGAAACGGGCGCUAAUACCGCAUACGUCCUGAGGGAGAAAGUGGGGGAUCUUCGGACCUCACGCUAUCAGAUGAGCCUAGGUCGGAUUAGCUAGUUGGUGGGGUAAAGGCCUACCAAGGCGACGAUCCGUAACUGGUCUGAGAGGAUGAUCAGUCACACUGGAACUGAGACACGGUCAAGACUCCUACGGGAGGCAGCAGUGGGGAAUAUUGGGCAAUGGGCGAAAGCCUGAUCCAGCCAUGCCGCGUGUGUGAAGAAGGUCUUCGGAUUGUAAAGCACUUUAAGUUGGGAGGAAGGGCAGUAAGUUAAUACCUUGCUGUUUUGACGUUACCAACAGAAUAAGCACCGGCUAACUUCGUG